GGGACUACGCGGUGACGUCGAGGUGCGCGGCGCAGCGCGCGGCGUCAGUCUUGGCUGGCAGACCUGUACUCCGUACUCCGUACUUCGUAGUCGCAGCGGCGCGGUCUUCGGCAGUCUAGUCAUCCACCGCCAUCCUGGGCCCCACGUGUUGCCUGACCAUUCCUGAGCCCAGGCCAGGAAUAGUUGCUGAACACCCCAGGCCUGCUGAGGUCCCUCCUUGAGUCUCAUGUUCAAGCAGUCUUUGUCCAUGAAACUGGGAGGCGACCGUGUUAGCUGCCAGUUCCUGACAGCCACCUCUCACCAGUGGCUUCACUCUGUGUCCCUGACCCAGCACAUGGCACAAGAGUGCCUGCCAUCCGUCAGUGUUUCUACAGCAGCAAUCCCAAGAUGCUGGAGCUAGAGGGGACCUGACCUGAGAGAAGAUACCUUCAGUGGCUGCCAGGCUGUUCCUUGGAACCUGUGCAGGGAUGAGGCCUGCCUGUGUUAAUACACCUAGUGAGGAGUGGAGCUGAAUUUGAAUGCAAGCCUUGGCACCUUAAUUGAGCAAGUUUGAAACCUCGCUUGUUGCCCUUCUGGAAGGAGUCAGGAAUUUCCAGUUCUGGGCCUGGGCUGUGGGUCUGGCAGACAGACCUCUGGCCCUAGGUUUGGGUGCCAGGUUCUCUGCUUCCAGAAUGAGAAGCUUUGCUGUGCACCAGGACCUGGGCCCUUCUGGUAUCUCCUGAAUGAAAAACAAGGGAUAUUUAAUAAAUAUGGAUUUAAAUAUGUGAAAAAAAAAAAAAAAAA
RNAcentral lists this long non-coding RNA (783 nucleotides) under Homo sapiens (human). RNAcentral describes it as "small nucleolar RNA host gene 15, transcript variant 2 (SNHG15)". The record is from RNAcentral. Lineage: Eukaryota; Metazoa; Chordata; Mammalia; Primates; Hominidae.